GUUUCCUGGACCCUACCAGGACAAGAAUCGCGGGGAGAGGUGCGAAGAAGGUCUGGAGAGGAGGAGGCUUGGGACAAUGCAGAGUCCUGGAAGUGAGGCUGACCGCUGACCGCUGUCAGGAGGGACAUGGACCGCUGCCGGGGAAUCAUGGGAUUUCCCACCGGCCCAGUCAUCUCCCACGUCGGGAAAAGGGAAGAGCUGCUUCCCCAUGGCGUGUGCGCGUGGGAAGGGUCUCGGGCAGAGAAGAGGCACUUUUUCUGUCCUCCAGGCUGUUUCCGCCAAAUGAAGACCUGGGCUGGAAGAGCCAGGAACAAAGAGGAGAGUCGAGUGCUGAGCACCCAGCGGGAGAGGAUGCAGCCCGGUCAUCUCACACCUGCUGACCACACAACAUCGUCUGCGAGUUCCCCCCACCUACUUCGCCUGCAGCUGCCAUUUGGGAAGAUGACUCUUGCCUCUUUCACCGUCUGUUUUUUAGAUUAGGACUCACGGGCCUAGGGCAGGAGUCAGCUCUUCCAGAUCUUUAUCGAAAAGUAACAUCACACUUGUGCCCAGGGGUUCGAGACCAGCCUGGGCAACAGGACAAACCCCCUUCUCUACAAAAAAACCCACAAAAUCUGUGUGGAAGGUGUGUGAACCCUUGGGAAACAGAGUUGCUGUACACGUGUAUCAGGCCCUGAGCCAGCUGCAGGGUGGGCAUUACUGCUUGGUGCCCUCCGCCCUCACUCUUCCUCCCUGGAUGUUGAGGAUGGCCCCGUAAACCUUGUUCAUAGGGGUCCCUCGUUUUCUGAGACACCUCAUCUGAGCACUGACGAGGGGACACAACUCUUGGCUGGGAAGCAGGAGACUGAGCAUUGCCUUCAAGCCAUCCCCACACAUGUGACCUCAGUCAGCAUUCUGCCCUUUCAUGGGUGUCAGUUGUCUCGUCCAUAAAAUGGGAUGAUGUUCUUGUUCCAGCCGGCAUACUGGAUGACUAAAUGAGGGAACAGGCCAUGGUUUUGCGGGAGGAGGAGCUACGUCAGUCUGCCUUGGAGCUCAGCACCGUGUUUGGCCCAUGGUAGAUGCCCCACAGAAAACAC
This 1076-nucleotide long non-coding RNA is filed under the name Homo sapiens (human). RNAcentral's name for it is "non-protein coding lnc-MTA3-2:1". The record is from RNAcentral. Lineage: Eukaryota; Metazoa; Chordata; Mammalia; Primates; Hominidae.